RNAcentral lists this ribosomal RNA (492 nucleotides) under uncultured bacterium. RNAcentral describes it as "partial 16S ribosomal RNA". It matches the Rfam family "Bacterial small subunit ribosomal RNA", at positions 29 to 507 of the family's 1533-position model. The record is from RNAcentral.
AGUGAACGCUGGCGGUAGGCCUAACACAUGCAAGUCGAACGGCAGCACAGUAAGAGCUUGCUCUUACGGGUGGCGAGUGGCGGACGGGUGAGGAAUACAUCGGAAUCUACUUUUUCGUGGGGGAUAACGGAGGGAAACUUACGCUAAUACCGCAUACGACCUACGGGUGAAAGCAGGGGAUCUUCAGACCUUGCGCGAUUCAAUGAGCCGAUGUCGGAUUAGCUAGUUGGCGGGGUAAAGGCCCACCAAGGCGACGAUCCGUAGCUGGUCUGAGAGGAUGAUCAGCCACACUGGAACUGAGACACGGUCCAGACUCCUACGGGAGGCAGCAGUGGGGAAUAUUGGACAAUGGGCGCAAGCCUGAUCCAGCCAUACCGCGUGGGUGAAGAAGGCCUUCGGGUUGUAAAGCCCUUUUGUUGGGAAAGAAAAGCAGCAGGUUAAUCCCCCGCUGUUCUGACGGUACCCAAAGAAUAAGCACCGGCUAACUUCGUG